CAGCAGCCGCAGUAAUACCGGCGGCCCGAGUGGCGGCCACUAUUAUUGGGCUUAAAGCGUCCGUAGCCGGGUUGGUUAGUCUCCCGGGAAAUCUGGCCGCUUAACGGUCAGAAUUCCGGGAGAUACUGCCAGCCUAGGGACCGGGAGAGGCCGAGGGUAUUCCCGGAGUAGGGGUGAAAUCCUAUAAUCCCGGGAGGACCACCUGUGGCGAAGGCGCUCGGCUGGAACGGGUCCGACGGUGAGGGACGAAGGCCAGGGGAGCAAACCGGAUUAGAUACCCGGGUAGUCCUGGCUGUAAACGAUGCGGACUUUGUGUCGGACAAGCUAUGAGCUUGUCCGGUGCCGGAGGGAAACCGUUAAGUCCGCCGCCUGGGGAGUACGGCCGCAAGGCUGAAACUUAAAGGAUUGGCGGG
Molecule: ribosomal RNA, 413 nt
Filed under: uncultured microorganism
Description: bacterial SSU rRNA
Rfam family: Archaeal small subunit ribosomal RNA
Source: RNAcentral